GAGUAUCUUCCUGCUAUUGAGAAAAUUGAUGUUAGCUCUUGUGUCAAGCUAUCGUCCCUGCCAGGUGAAAGAUUUGGGAAUUUCUCAGCUCUAAAGCAUCUGCGUAUUUCUUAUUGUGGAAAACUCAAAUGGAAGGGACUUGUUUUACCAUCGACCCUCCAAAGCCUCUGCUUAAGUUAUUGUGGGGAUAUCUCUCCCUGGGUUCCCAGUUGCCUGGAGAACCUUGCCUCCUUGGUGCGCCUGCUGAUUAACUCUUGCCAACAUGUACAAUACAUUCCCAGUUCACUAUGGAGCAGCAAUCUCUCAUCACUCCAGGAUUUGCGUAUUUUCAAUUGUAGUGACCUUGUAUCAAUUGGUGGAGCAGAUGCAAUUGUGAAAAUAAACAAGGUGAAGAUAGAAAACUGUCCAAAGUUGCAGGAAAUAUAGCAACCAAUGAGCAGAGGUGGCCUGUAGAUUUCAUGAUAUGUAUGUGAUAUGAAAGUUAAAGGAUUCAGUCUCUGAGUCUUUAUGGUAUGUAUGUGAUAAAUCCAAAAAUUUCCCUUCCAGCUCUUAC
RNAcentral lists this long non-coding RNA (553 nucleotides) under Oryza sativa (Asian cultivated rice). RNAcentral describes it as "long non-coding RNA (OSAT_LNC000326)". Lineage: Eukaryota; Viridiplantae; Streptophyta; Magnoliopsida; Poales; Poaceae. The record is from RNAcentral.